CCUACGGGGGACAGCAGUAGGGAAUAUUGCUCAAUGGGGGAAACCCUGAAGCAGCAACGCCGCGUGGAGGAUGAAGGUUUUAGGAUUGGAAACUCCUUUUGGUAGAGAAGAGUAUGACGGGAGCUAACGAAUAAGCACCGGCGAACGCCGAGCCAGCAGCCGAGGUAAGACGGAGGGGGCAAGCGUUACUCGGAAUAACGGGGCGUAAAGAGUGCGUAGGGGGGGUAAGAAGUCAGAUGUGAAAUCCUGUAGCUUAACUCCAGAACUGCCUUUGAAACUUUUACUCUGGAGUGUGGGAGAGGUAUGUGGAAUUCUUGGUGUAGCGGUCAAAUCCGUAGAUAUCACGCGGAAUCCUCAUUGCGAAGGCGACCUGCUGGUACAUUACUGACGCUCAUGCCCGAACGCGUGGGUAGCAAACAGGAUUAGCUACCCUAGUAGUC
This 440-nucleotide ribosomal RNA is filed under the name uncultured bacterium. Its description in RNAcentral is "partial 16S ribosomal RNA". It matches the Rfam family "Bacterial small subunit ribosomal RNA", at positions 338 to 795 of the family's 1533-position model. The record is from RNAcentral.